RNAcentral lists this unclassified non-coding RNA (275 nucleotides) under Hevea brasiliensis (rubber tree). Lineage: Eukaryota; Viridiplantae; Streptophyta; Magnoliopsida; Malpighiales; Euphorbiaceae. The record is from RNAcentral.
AAGCCUUGAUUUCUUUCUCUUUGAUUCAAACAAGGAUGUUCAACUUGAUUGGCAAAGACGUCUUAGCACUAUUAAUGGAGUUGCCAGAGGCCUCUUGUAUCUACACGAAGAUUCUAGUCUUAGGAUUAUUCACAGAGACCUAAAAACCAGCAAUAUUUUGCUCGACUAUGACAUGAAUCCAAAGAUUUCAGACUUUGGAAUGGCAAGGAUUUUUGGUGAAAAUCAAAGUGAAGCUAAUACAAAUAGAGUUGUUGGAACAUAUGGAUAUAUGGCCC